CACGUAGGAGGCAAGCGUUAUUCGGAUUUACUGGGCGUAAAGCGCGUGCAGGCGGUUCGAUAAGUUGGAUGUGAAAGCUCCUGGCUUAACUGGGAGAGGUCGUUCAAUACUAUCGGACUAGAGGAUGAGAGAGGGAGGUGGAAUUCCGAGUGUAGUGGUGGAAUGCGUAGAUAUUCGGAGGAACACCAGUGGCGAAAGCGGCCUCCUGGCUCAUAACUGACGCUCAGACGCGAAAGCUAGGGUAGCAAACGGG
This 253-nucleotide ribosomal RNA is filed under the name uncultured microorganism. RNAcentral's name for it is "partial small subunit ribosomal RNA". It matches the Rfam family "Bacterial small subunit ribosomal RNA", at positions 524 to 776 of the family's 1533-position model. The record is from RNAcentral.